CUAAUGCUAGUUCUAGUAGUGGUGAAGUUAAUGUUGCAAGCUUUGCACGAGAACUACUUGCUGUAAUGCGGGAGUUGGGACAACAGCAACAGAUACCACCUUUGACUGGGCAACGAACCUUAAAUCAACAAAUACCAGUUGAUCAUCAGGAACCUAACCAACCAAUUAUUCAACCUCAAAUAGUACCUAACUCGAGGGAUCGAACUGCAAUGAUAGA
Molecule: long non-coding RNA, 217 nt
Filed under: Olea europaea (common olive)
Lineage: Eukaryota; Viridiplantae; Streptophyta; Magnoliopsida; Lamiales; Oleaceae
Description: long non-coding RNA (OEUR_LNC008133)
Source: RNAcentral